RNAcentral lists this ribosomal RNA (406 nucleotides) under uncultured bacterium. Its description in RNAcentral is "partial 16S ribosomal RNA". It matches the Rfam family "Bacterial small subunit ribosomal RNA", at positions 30 to 526 of the family's 1533-position model. The record is from RNAcentral.
AUUGAACGCUGGCGGCAGGCCUAACACAUGCAAGUCGAACGAGUGGCGGACGGGCGAGUAAUGUCUGGGAAACUGCACGACGGAGGGGGAUAACUUCUGGAAACGGUAGCUAAUACCGCAACCCAUACGAUGUGCCCAGAUGGGAUUAGCUAGUGGGUGGGGUAACGGCUCACCUAGGCGACGAUCCCUAGCUGGUCUGAGAGGCAGACCAGCCACACUGGAACUGAGACACGGUCCAGACGCCUACGGGAGGCAGCAGUGGGGAAUAUUGCACAAUGGGCGCAAGCCUGAUGCAGCCAUGCCGCGUGUAUGAAGAAGGCCUUCGGGUUGUAAAGUACUUUCAGCGAGGAGGCGUUACUCGCAGAAGAAGCACCGGCUAACUCCGUGCCAGCCGCCGCGGUAAUUC